RNAcentral lists this ribosomal RNA (540 nucleotides) under Bifidobacterium longum subsp. infantis. Its description in RNAcentral is "bacterial SSU rRNA". It matches the Rfam family "Bacterial small subunit ribosomal RNA", at positions 146 to 700 of the family's 1533-position model. Lineage: Bacteria; Bacillati; Actinomycetota; Actinomycetes; Bifidobacteriales; Bifidobacteriaceae. The record is from RNAcentral.
UCUCCUGGAAAACGGGUGGUAAUGCCGGAUGUUCCAGUUGAUCGCAUGGUCUUCUGGGAAAGCUUUCGCGGUAUGGGAUGGGGUCGCGUCCUAUCAGCUUGACGGCGGGGUAACGGCCCACCGUGGCUUCGACGGGUAGCCGGCCUGAGAGGGCGACCGGCCACAUUGGGACUGAGAUACGGCCCAGACUCCUACGGGAGGCAGCAGUGGGGAAUAUUGCACAAUGGGCGCAAGCCUGAUGCAGCGACGCCGCGUGAGGGAUGGAGGCCUUCGGGUUGUAAACCUCUUUUAUCGGGGAGCAAGCGAGAGUGAGUUUACCCGUUGAAUAAGCACCGGCUAACUACGUGCCAGCAGCCGCGGUAAUACGUAGGGUGCAAGCGUUAUCCGGAAUUAUUGGGCGUAAAGGGCUCGUAGGCGGUUCGUCGCGUCCGGUGUGAAAGUCCAUCGCUUAACGGUGGAUCCGCGCCGGGUACGGGCGGGCUUGAGUGCGGUAGGGGAGACUGGAAUUCCCGGUGUAACGGUGGAAUGUGUAGAUAUCGG